GACUGGUCCAAAGGUAGUGAGUUCUCUCAAUUGACUGUUCACAGUCAGUUACAGGGCGAACUCCUGUUCUGCUAUUCCUCCCCUUCUCACUACUGCACUUAACUAGUCUUUA
RNAcentral lists this Y RNA (112 nucleotides) under Propithecus coquereli (Coquerel's sifaka). Its description in RNAcentral is "Y RNA (ENSPCOG00000009591.1)". It matches the Rfam family "Y RNA". From Rfam's summary of the family: Y RNAs are components of the Ro ribonucleoprotein particle (Ro RNP), in association with Ro60 and La proteins. The Y RNAs and Ro60 and La proteins are well conserved, but the function of the Ro RNP is not known. Lineage: Eukaryota; Metazoa; Chordata; Mammalia; Primates; Indriidae. The record is from Rfam by way of RNAcentral.